This 254-nucleotide ribosomal RNA is filed under the name Pseudo-nitzschia fraudulenta. Its description in RNAcentral is "partial Bacterial small subunit ribosomal RNA". It matches the Rfam family "Bacterial small subunit ribosomal RNA", at positions 887 to 1142 of the family's 1533-position model. The record is from RNAcentral. Lineage: Eukaryota; Bacillariophyta; Bacillariophyceae; Bacillariales; Bacillariaceae.
CGCAAGAUUAAAACUCAAAGGAAUUGACGGGGGCCUGCACAAGCGGUGGAGCAUGUGGUUUAAUUCGACGCAACGCGAAGAACCUUACCUGGCCUUGACAUGCAGAGAACUUUCCAGAGAUGGAUUGGUGCCUUCGGGAACUCUGACACAGGUGCUGCAUGGCCGUCGUCAGCUCGUGUCGUGAGAUGUUGGGUUAAGUCUCGCAACGAGCGCAACCCCUAUCCUUAGUUGCCAGCAUUAAGUUGGGCACUCUA